Leopardus geoffroyi (Geoffroy's cat) is the source of this 530-nucleotide long non-coding RNA. RefSeq lists it as uncharacterized. The transcript has 2 exons. Lineage: Eukaryota; Metazoa; Chordata; Mammalia; Carnivora; Felidae. The record is from RefSeq and is a predicted model, not a curated record.
ACAUGGAAGUGCACAUUCUCUGAGACAGAUCACAUGUGAAGCCACAAAACAAGUCUUAAUAAAUUUAAGAAGACUGAAAUCAUAUUAAGCAUCUUUUUCAACCACAAUGGUGUAAAACAUGUGGAGGCUAAACAACAUGCUAUUAAACGACCAAUGGGUCAAUGAAGAAAUCAAAAAGGAAAUAAAUAAAAUAGCAUGAGACAAAUGAAAAUGGAAAGCCAACAUUCCAAAAUCUUUCGGGCAGAACAAAAGCAGUUCUAACAGGCAAGUUUAUACUGAUAUGGGCCCUCUUCAAGAAACAAAUCUCAGGGUUGCCUGAGUGGCUCAGUUGGUUAAGUGUCUGGCUUGGACUCAGCCAGCAUAGGGACAGACAGGCCAGGGAAAGUGGUGACCCUAUAACCAUUCUGGAGAAUAACCUCUGGCAAUUUUUACCUUCUAGGAUUUGAUGGACCCUGGAGUCCCGCACAUACUGCUGAACAGCAUAGUCCUUCAGGUAGCCAUAGCCUCCAUGCAUCUGUAACGCCUGGUUG